This 76-nucleotide transfer RNA is filed under the name Candidatus Neomicrothrix parvicella. RNAcentral describes it as "tRNA-Glu". It matches the Rfam family "tRNA". From Rfam's summary of the family: Transfer RNA (tRNA) molecules are approximately 80 nucleotides in length. Their secondary structure includes four short double-helical elements and three loops (D, anti-codon, and T loops). Lineage: Bacteria; Bacillati; Actinomycetota; Acidimicrobiia; Acidimicrobiales; Microthrixaceae. The record is from RNAcentral. RNAcentral also lists the same sequence under 2 other names.
GCCCCCAUCGUCCAGCGGCCUAGGACACCGCCCUUUCAAGGCGGCAACACGGGUUCGAAUCCCGUUGGGGGUGCCA